GGACGGCAUGGCCGGUGGCGGCUUCCAGCUCGUCGCCUUCGGCGCGGCGAGUGCCGUGAUCCUGGCGCUGACCGCCCA
Molecule: transfer RNA, 78 nt
Filed under: Pleomorphomonas sp. T1.2MG-36
Lineage: Bacteria; Pseudomonadati; Pseudomonadota; Alphaproteobacteria; Hyphomicrobiales; Pleomorphomonadaceae
Description: tRNA-Arg(tcg)
Source: RNAcentral